UACGUGCCAGCAGCCGCGGUAAUACGGAGGAUGCGAGCGUUAUCCGGAUUUAUUGGGUUUAAAGGGUGCGUAGGUUGUUCGGUAAGUCAGCGGUGAAACCUGAGCGCUCAACGUUCAGCCUGCCGUUGAAACUGCCGGGCUUGAGUUCAGUGGCGGCAGGCGGAAUUCGUGGUGUAGCGGUGAAAUGCAUAGAUAUCACGAGGAACUCCGAUUGCGAAGGCAGCUUGCCAUACUGCGACUGACACUGAAGCACGAAGGCGUGGGUAUCAAACAGGAUUAGAUACCCUGGUAGUCCACGCAGUAAACGAUGAUUACUAGGAGUUUGCGAUAUACCGUCAAGCUUCCACAGCGAAAGCGUUAAGUAAUCCACCUGGGGAGUACGCCGGCAACGGUGAAACUCAAAGGAAUUGACGGGGGCCCGCACAAGCGGAGGAACAUGUGGUUUAAUUCGAUGAUACGCGAGGAACCUUACCCGGGAUUGAA
Molecule: ribosomal RNA, 483 nt
Filed under: uncultured bacterium
Lineage: Bacteria
Description: bacterial SSU rRNA
Rfam family: Bacterial small subunit ribosomal RNA
Source: RNAcentral